UGCACUGCAAUACUCAGAUUGAUAUGAGUCACUUAUUGCAUGUUACUCCAUCCUCUCUGAGUAGAGUAAGGCACA
This 75-nucleotide microRNA precursor is filed under the name Mus spretus (western wild mouse). Its description in RNAcentral is "microRNA 880 (ENSMSPG00010004760.1)". It matches the Rfam family "mir-880 microRNA precursor family". The record is from RNAcentral. Lineage: Eukaryota; Metazoa; Chordata; Mammalia; Rodentia; Muridae.